This 852-nucleotide ribosomal RNA is filed under the name uncultured Actinomycetes bacterium. RNAcentral's name for it is "bacterial SSU rRNA". It matches the Rfam family "Bacterial small subunit ribosomal RNA", at positions 61 to 918 of the family's 1533-position model. The record is from RNAcentral. Lineage: Bacteria; Bacillati; Actinomycetota; Actinomycetes.
GUCGAGCGAGAACCGGGGCUUCGGCCCCGGGGACAGCGGCGAACGGGUGAGUAACACGUGGAUAACCUGCCCUCGGCACCGGGAUAGCCCGGGGAAACUCGGAUUAAUACCGGAUGGCCCUUCCGACCUUCGGGUCGGUCGGGAAAGGUAGCUUCGGCCUCUGGCCGGGGAUGGGUCCGCGGCGGAUUAGCUUGUUGGUGGGGUAACGGCCCACCAAGGCGACGAUCCGUAGCUGGUCUGAGAGGACGAUCAGCCACACUGGGACUGAGACACGGCCCAGACUCCUACGGGAGGCAGCAGUGGGGAAUCUUGCGCAAUGGGCGAAAGCCUGACGCAGCGACGCCGCGUGAGGGAAGACGGCCUUCGGGUUGUAAACCUCUUUCAGGAGGGACGAAGCUACUCGGGUGAAUAGCCCAGAGGGUGACGGUACCUCCAGAAGAAGCCCCGGCUAACUAUGUGCCAGCAGCCGCGGUAAUACGUAGGGGGCAAGCGUUGUCCGGAUUUACUGGGCGUAAAGAGCGUGUAGGCGGCCAGACAGGUCUGUUGUGAAAACUGGAGGCUCACCUCCGGACGUCGACGAAACCGUCUGGCUAGAGUCCGGAAGAGGAGAGUGGAAUUCCUGGUGUAGCGGUGAAAUGCGCAGAUAUCAGGAAGAACACCAAUGGCGAAGGCGCUCUCUGGGACGGUACUGACGCUAGACGCGAAAGCGUGGGGAGCGAACAGAUUAGAUACCCUGGUAUCCACGCCGUAACGAAGGUGCUAGUGUGGGAGGUGUCGACUCCUUCCGUGCGUAACUACGCAUAAGCACCCGCCGGGGAGUCGGCCGCAGGCUAAACUCUAGGAUUGACGGGG